AACGCACAUUGCGCCCGCCAGUAUUCUGGCGGGCAUGCCUGUUCGAGCGUCAUUUCAACCAUCAAGCCCCCGGCUUGUGUUGGGGACCUGCGGCGCGCCCGCAGGCCCUGAAAACCAGUGGCGGGCUCGCUGACCACACCGAGCGUAGUAGCUUUUCUGUCUCGCUCAGGGCGUGCGGCGGGUUCCGGCCGUGAAACCCACCCCCCAAGGGGUACCCAAAGGUUGACCUCGGAUCAGGUAGGAAGACCCGCUGAACUUAA
Molecule: unclassified non-coding RNA, 260 nt
Filed under: uncultured fungus
Lineage: Eukaryota; Fungi
Description: partial contains 5.8S ribosomal RNA, internal transcribed spacer 2, and large subunit ribosomal RNA
Rfam family: 5.8S ribosomal RNA (bases 1-52)
Source: RNAcentral